Molecule: ribosomal RNA, 579 nt
Filed under: uncultured bacterium
Lineage: Bacteria
Description: bacterial SSU rRNA
Rfam family: Bacterial small subunit ribosomal RNA
Source: RNAcentral
ACGGGUGAGUAACACGUGGAUAACCUACCUAUAAGACUGGGAUAACUUCGGGAAACCGGAGCUAAUACCGGAUAAUAUUUUGAACCGCAUGGUUCAAAAGUGAAAGACGGUCUUGCUGUCACUUAUAGAUGGAUCCGCGCUGCAUUAGCUAGUUGGUAAGGUAACGGCUUACCAAGGCAACGAUGCAUAGCCGACCUGAGAGGGUGAUCGGCCACACUGGAACUGAGACACGGUCCAGACUCCUACGGGAGGCAGCAGUAGGGAAUCUUCCGCAAUGGGCGAAAGCCUGACGGAGCAACGCCGCGUGAGUGAUGAAGGUCUUCGGAUCGUAAAACUCUGUUAUUAGGGAAGAACAUAUGUGUAAGUAACUGUGCACAUCUUGACGGUACCUAAUCAGAAAGCCACGGCUAACUACGUGCCAGCAGCCGCGGUAAUACGUAGGUGGCAAGCGUUAUCCGGAAUUAUUGGGCGUAAAGCGCGCGUAGGCGGUUUUUUAAGUCUGAUGUGAAAGCCCACGGCUCAACCGUGGAGGGUCAUUGGAAACUGGAAAACUUGAGUGCAGAAGAGGAAAGUGGAAUU